RNAcentral lists this ribosomal RNA (255 nucleotides) under uncultured bacterium. Its description in RNAcentral is "partial 16S ribosomal RNA". It matches the Rfam family "Bacterial small subunit ribosomal RNA", at positions 524 to 777 of the family's 1533-position model. The record is from RNAcentral.
UACAUGGGGUGCAAACGUUGCUCGGAAUCAUUGGGCGUAAAGCGCGCGUAGGCGGUUACUUAAGUCGGAUGUGAAAGCCCUCGGCUUAACCGAGGAAGUGCAUCCGAAACUGAGUAGCUAGAGUACUAAAGAGGGUCGCGGAAUUCCCGGUGUAGAGGUGAAAUUCGUAGAUAUCGGGAGGAACACCGGUGGCGAAGGCGGCGACCUGGGUAGAUACGUGACGCUGAGGCGCGAAAGCGUGGGGAGCAAACAGGG